CGUGUGAGAAACCUGUUAUGGAGUGGGGGACAACAGUUGGAAACGACUGCUAAUACCGCAUAAGCCCACGGUACCGCAUGGUACAGAGGGAAAAGGAGCAAUUCGCUUCAGGAUGGACUCGCGUCUGAUUAGCUAGUUGGUGGGGUAACGGCCUACCAAGGCGACGAUCAGUAGCCGGACUGAGAGGUUGAUCGGCCACAUUGGGACUGAGAUACGGCCCAGACUCCUACGGGAGGCAGCAGUGGGGAAUAUUGCACAAUGGGGGAAACCCUGAUGCAGCGACGCCGCGUGGAGGAAGAAGGUCUUCGGAUUGUAAACUCCUGUUGUCAAGGACGAUAAUGACGGUACUUGACAAGAAAGCCACGGCUAACUACGUGCCAGCAGCCGCGAUAAAACGUAGGUGGCAAGCGUUGUCCGGAAUUACUGGGUGUAAAGGGAGCGCAGGCGGACCGGCAAGUUGGAUGUGAAACCCACGGGCUCAACCUGUGGCCUGCAUCCAAAACUGUCGGUCUUGAGUAGUGCAGAGGUAGGCGGAAUUCCCGGUGUAGCGGUGGAAUGCGUAGAUAUCGGGAGGAACACCAGUGGCGAAGGCGGCCUACUGGGCACCAACUGACGCUGAGGCUCGAAAGUAUGGGUAGCAAACAGGAUUAGAUACCCUGGUAGUCCAUACCGUAAACGAUGAUUACUAGGUGUUGGAGGAUUGACCCCUUCAGUGCCGCAGUUAACACAAUAAGUAAUCCACCUGGGGAGUACGGCCGCAAGGCUGAAACUCAAAGGAAUUGACGGGGGCCCGCACAAGCAGUGGAGUAUGUGGUUUAAUUCGAAGCAACGCGAAGAACCUUACCAGGUCUUGACAUCGAGUGACGAACGCAGAGAUGCGUUUUUCCUUCGGGACACGAAGACAGGUGGUGCAUGGUUGUCGUCAGCUCGUGUCGUGAGAUGUUGGGUUAAGUCCCGCAACGAGCGCAACCCUUACUGUUAGUUACUACGCAAGAGGACUCUAGCAGGACUGCCGUUGACAAAACGGAGGAAGGUGGGGAUGACGUCAAAUCAUCAUGCCCUUUAUGACCUGGGCUACACACGUACUACAAUGGCGUUUAACAAAGAGAAGCAAUACCGCGAGGUGGAGCAAAACUCAAAAACAACGUCCCAGUUCAGACUGCAGGCUGCAACUCGCCUGCACGAAGUCGGAAUUGCUAGUAAUCGCGGAUCAGCAUGCCGCGGUGAAUACGUUCCCGGGCCUUGUACACACCGCCCGUCACACCAUGAGAGCCGGGGGGACCCGAAGUCCGUAGUCUAACCUUUAUCGGAGGACGCGGCCGAAGG
The sequence is a ribosomal RNA, 1326 nucleotides long. It matches the Rfam family "Bacterial small subunit ribosomal RNA", at positions 114 to 1462 of the family's 1533-position model.